Geobacillus sp. CAMR12739 is the source of this 105-nucleotide non-coding RNA. Lineage: Bacteria; Bacillati; Bacillota; Bacilli; Caryophanales; Anoxybacillaceae. The record is from Rfam.
CGUUGCUCGGGAGUGAGGGAGGAAUUGGCUCAAUGAACUCCGACAACCUGCCGCCUAUAGCAAAGUGCCAAUUCCAGCUAAAGAAGAUCUUUAGUAAAAUAAGGG